UAGCAACGCCUGAAUGUUCAUACGGCGUUUUUCCUUAGCACGGCAGCAUAGUGACUACCUUCUUCAUUGAUGCAAGCAACAUCGUUCCAAUCUGGAUUUGAAAUUUGCAGGUGACAUGGGAGCGGCGUUGACAUGUUGGCGUGCGUUUUGGAUUCCGGUUGCUCCGACUCAUGGGACCCCCCACCGGACUCAAUCCUCGAAAUCCCACCCCCUCCCAUGCCCUCUUUUUUCCAGAGCAACUUCACUUUAUCUCCCGGUUGCUCCCCUUUUUCCUGCGAUUGGUCCACCGGACACAGCGUUGAAUAUGUCGAGUUACCGCAUCAAGAGACGCAACUGGAUGAAACCUGGUUGAUCAUUCUUGGAUCCUCGCUAGUUAUAGUUUUGGUGCUAAGCAUUCUGCUAACAAUGUUCCUCAUAAGAUGUCGUCAACUGAAGACGCUGAAGAUCCCCUCGCUGAGCAGCCUGAACGAGGGUGGGAACUGCGAGGCGGUGCUGUACCCGGCCUCGAUGCACGGGAGGGCCUUCUGGGCCACUUUGGGGCCCCACGGGACCAUGAAGCACGUGACGGAGCCCCUCCCGUUCCCGAUCCUCAAGCCGGCCACCAAGAGCUUCGAGAACUGCGGCUUCAUCGAGGCCGAGGACUACAUCUCCAAAGUUCGACCCCGGGUCUCCUCCCCGACCAGGAUCGAAAAUCCGAACCUCCCCCCGCUCAACAUCAACGGGAGCCUCCGCCGACCAUCCUAUCAUACCAUUGGUCGACAAUAA
RNAcentral lists this long non-coding RNA (765 nucleotides) under Bemisia tabaci. Its description in RNAcentral is "lncRNA ENSSSA2NGG011642". The record is from RNAcentral. Lineage: Eukaryota; Metazoa; Arthropoda; Insecta; Hemiptera; Aleyrodidae.